Triplophysa rosa is the source of this 351-nucleotide long non-coding RNA. RefSeq lists it as uncharacterized. The record is from RefSeq and is a predicted model, not a curated record. Lineage: Eukaryota; Metazoa; Chordata; Actinopteri; Cypriniformes; Nemacheilidae. The transcript has 3 exons.
GGCGGAGCUUGAGCUACAUAGCAUAGCGCAUGUACAGUCCAUUAGAACUUACACAAUUUGCAUCGCACGAUGCAUCAGACAGUACUUAUUCGAGGACAGGAUCCCCUGCUGUCUAUUGAGAGAUGCACAGUGUUCUGCAUAAAAUACCACUGUGCCUACUGUAAAUUGGUGUUUAACCAUUUACACGAGCUCCAAAAUCAUGUAGUUAAUCACAUGCAAAAUACAGUUCAACAAUAAGGUCACGGGUGUUGAUAUUUGAGCAGCUUAUGAAAGUCCAUCCCAGGUCUGCGGGUCUUUAUUUCCUCCAUGACAUCCAGCCUGCUUCAUCAGAACGCUGUUAUUCCUUUACAU